AGAAAUCCCCAGGGUGUGGCCCCAGGAAGACAAGGAGCACGCCCUGUACUGAGGGUGAUAUGAAAGCUAAAAUGCUCACCAGCCUGCAAAGCCUGGACUCCCAAGACAGGAGCUCGGACCAGAGGCUGCAACACUGUGGAGGCAAUGGGGCCACACCCCCGGGCUGCACAGAAGCUGCCCGCACAUCCUCAUUCUUCCACUGCACACCCCCCACCCAGCCCCAAUCACCCCAGGGAGCUGGGGUCUCCGGGCGUUGGUGGAAGUAAUGCAUCCACGUUGUGCUACAACACCUUUGAGAGACAGGUCAGCCUCCUAGCCCAGGCACUGCCCUCCUGCUGCCACCAGGCCCUGGGCAGCCCAAGGGGUAAAGCAGGGAGUUAGGACAUGGGGGCAGAGGAAGAGAGAGGCCAGAGGGUGAGGACACCGGGGCCCCCCAGGAUGAGUGUUCCCUGGCCGGAUUGGGGACUGAUGGGAGCCACAAACAAAGCCAGAAUGGCCAGCAGCAGGGUUUCUUCUGGUUCCGACCCACAGGCACCCCCAGACCUUGUGGGCUGACUCAGGGCAGUCACAGCCAUCACACCGUGUCACCCUUCACAGUGUCACUGAGUC
This 609-nucleotide long non-coding RNA is filed under the name Homo sapiens (human). RNAcentral describes it as "non-protein coding lnc-LHPP-7:1". The record is from RNAcentral. Lineage: Eukaryota; Metazoa; Chordata; Mammalia; Primates; Hominidae.